GACGAACGCUGGCGGCGUGCUUAACACAUGCAAGUCGAACGAAGUGGCGAACGGGUGAGUAACGCGUAAUCAACCUGCCCUUAAGAGGGGGACAACAGUUGGAAACGACUGCUAAUACCGCAUACUGAAGGAGGGGAUUGCGUGUGAUUAGCUAGUUGGAGGGGUAACGGCCCACCAAGGCGAUGAUCAGUAGCCGGUCUGAGAGGAUGAACGGCCACAUUGGGACUGAGACACGGUCCAGACUCCUACGGGAGGCAGCAGUGGGGAAUAUUGCACAAUGGGCGAAAGCCUGAUCCAGCCAUACCGCGUGGGUGAAGAAGGCCUUCGGGUUGUAAAGCCCUUUUGUUGGGAAAGCGGUACCCAAAGAAUAAGCACCGGCUAACUUCGUGCCAGCAGCCGCGGUAAUAC
Molecule: ribosomal RNA, 408 nt
Filed under: uncultured bacterium
Lineage: Bacteria
Description: partial 16S ribosomal RNA
Rfam family: Bacterial small subunit ribosomal RNA
Source: RNAcentral